GCAAGUGAUGACUUACACAUUCUUCACUUUGACCUGAUUUAUAGUUGUGAUGACGAUUUUGUGUCUGAGC
Non-coding RNA from Nerophis lumbriciformis (worm pipefish), 70 nucleotides. The record is from RefSeq and is a predicted model, not a curated record. NCBI's taxonomy places the organism in Eukaryota, Metazoa, Chordata, Actinopteri, Syngnathiformes, Syngnathidae.